UUACGGCCAUAUCGCGUUGAAACGCUGGAUCCCGUACGAUCAUCGAAGUUAAGCAAUUUCUAUCCUGGUUAUUAUCUAGAUGGGUGACAACUUAGGAAUACCAUGUGUUGUAA
Molecule: non-coding RNA, 113 nt
Organism: Acanthosepion pharaonis
Lineage: Eukaryota; Metazoa; Mollusca; Cephalopoda; Sepiida; Sepiidae
Source: the annotation of a GenBank genome assembly